RNAcentral lists this ribosomal RNA (254 nucleotides) under uncultured bacterium. RNAcentral's name for it is "partial 16S ribosomal RNA". It matches the Rfam family "Bacterial small subunit ribosomal RNA", at positions 524 to 776 of the family's 1533-position model. The record is from RNAcentral.
UACGUAGGGUGCAAGCGUUGUCCGGAAUUAUUGGGCGUAAAGAGCUCGUAGGCGGUUUUGUCGCGUCUGCUGUGAAAACCGGAGGCUCAACCUCCGGCCUGCAGUGGGUACGGGCAAACUAGAGUGCGGUAGGGGAGAUUGGAAUUCCUGGUGUAGCGGUGGAAUGCGCAGAUAUCAGGAGGAACACCGAUGGCGAAGGCAGAUCUCUGGGCCGUAACUGACGCUGAGGAGCGAAAGCGUGGGGAGCGAACAGG